Non-coding RNA from Oryza nivara, 205 nucleotides. The record is from Rfam. Lineage: Eukaryota; Viridiplantae; Streptophyta; Magnoliopsida; Poales; Poaceae.
UACAAGUACAAUCAUAAAUUUUCACGUCAAAUUUUAAUCGUUCGUCUUAUUUGAAAAAUCUUUAUAAUUAGUAUUUUUAUUGUUAUGAGAUGAUAAAACAUAAAUAGUAUUUUACUCGUGACUUAUGUUUUUAAAUUUUUUUUAAAAAUUUUUAAAUAAGACAGACGAUUAAAGUUGGGCGUGGAAAACCAUAACUGCACUUAUA